Molecule: ribosomal RNA, 220 nt
Filed under: Rhizophagus intraradices
Lineage: Eukaryota; Fungi; Glomeromycota; Glomeromycetes; Glomerales; Glomeraceae
Description: partial 25S large subunit ribosomal RNA
Rfam family: Eukaryotic large subunit ribosomal RNA
Source: RNAcentral
GAUCGAGUUGUAAUUUGAAGAAGCGUUUUCUGCGUAUUUGAUCAGCCUAAGUCCUAUUGAAUGAGGCAUCACGGAGGGUGAUAAUCCCGUCCGGUUGAUCAUUUGCGUUUUACGAUACGCUUUCUAAGAGUCAAGUUGUUUGGGAUUGCAGCUUAAAAUGGGAGGUAAAUUUCUUCCUAAGGCUAAAUAAACGGCGAGAGACCGAUAGCGAACAAGUACC